UACGUAGGGUGCGAGCGUUAAUCGGAAUUACUGGGCGUAAAGCGUGCGCAGGCGGUUUUGUAAGCCAGGUGUGAAAUCCCCGGGCUCAACCUGGGAAUGGCAUUUGGGACUGCAAGGCUGGAGUGCGGCAGAGGAGACUGGAAUUCCUGGUGUAGCAGUGAAAUGCGUAGAUAUCAGGAGGAAUACCGAUGCGAAGGCAGGUCUCUGGGCUGACACUGACGCUCAUGCACGAAAGCGUGGGGGAGCAAACAGG
Molecule: ribosomal RNA, 253 nt
Filed under: uncultured bacterium
Lineage: Bacteria
Description: partial 16S ribosomal RNA
Rfam family: Bacterial small subunit ribosomal RNA
Source: RNAcentral